RNAcentral lists this ribosomal RNA (316 nucleotides) under uncultured soil bacterium. RNAcentral's name for it is "bacterial SSU rRNA". It matches the Rfam family "Bacterial small subunit ribosomal RNA", at positions 1082 to 1397 of the family's 1533-position model. The record is from RNAcentral.
AAGUCCCGUAACGAGCGCAACCCCUGCUUUCAGUUGCUACCGGGUCAUGCCGAGCACUCUGAAGGGACUGCCCAGGAUAACGGGGAGGAAGGUGGGGAUGACGUCAAGUCAGCAUGGCCUUUAUGCCUGGGGCCACACACGUGCUACAAUGGCCGGUACAAAGCGCUGCAAACCUGCAAGGGGGAGCCAAUCGCAAAAAACCGGCCUCAGUUCAGAUUGAGGUCUGCAACUCGACCUCAUGAAGGCGGAAUCGCUAGUAAUCGCGGAUCAGCACGCCGCGGUGAAUACGUUCCCGGGCCUUGUACACACCGCCCGU